AUAUUGGACAAUGGGGGCAACCCUGAUCCAGCCAUGCCGCGUGAGUUAUGCAGGACUUAGCGUUGUAAAGCUUCUUCAGUGGGGAAGAUAAUGACGGUACCCAAACAAGAAGCACCGGCUAACUUCGUGCCAGCAGCCGCGGUAAUACGAAGGGGGCUAGCGUUGUUCGGAUUUACUGGGCGUAAAGCGCACGUAGGCGGAUUGGUCAGUUAGGGGUGAAAUCCCGAAGCUCAACUCCGGAACUGCCUUUAAUACUGCCAGUCUAGAGUCCGAGAGAGGUGAGUGGAACUCCUAGUGUAGAGGUGGAAUUCGUAGAUAUUAGGAAGAACACCAGUGGCGAAGGCGGCUCACUGGCUCGGUACUGACGCUGAGGUGCGAAAGCGUGGGGAGCAAAC
This 395-nucleotide ribosomal RNA is filed under the name uncultured bacterium. RNAcentral's name for it is "partial 16S ribosomal RNA". It matches the Rfam family "Bacterial small subunit ribosomal RNA", at positions 361 to 773 of the family's 1533-position model. The record is from RNAcentral.